Molecule: ribosomal RNA, 411 nt
Filed under: Triticum aestivum (bread wheat)
Lineage: Eukaryota; Viridiplantae; Streptophyta; Magnoliopsida; Poales; Poaceae
Description: partial small subunit ribosomal RNA
Source: RNAcentral
AUGUGGCACAAGACCGGCAAUACCUUGUCGGUGAUGGUCAACGGCUGGCAGACGGGCAGCAAAAAGGUUAUGGUGCUGCACACCAACAAGAACUUCAACCAGCAGAGGACCAACUGGGUGAUGCACCAGUACCACCUCGGGGACCUGGAGCAAGAGAAGGAGCGGGAGCUGGUCCUCUGCAAGAUUUUCUACCAGACGAACACUAGGGCCAGGAGUCGAGCAACUUUCAACUGGGUUGUAGACUGCCCAGGCUUGGUUUUGUUUUUAACAGGCCCAGCCCAUGACGACAACCGGGCACAAAGAUCCAGCAGAAUAGAAGUAUCUAGAAGUAGUCAAACAGAUGUGACUUCUGGUUUUCUUGUUCUUCUUUUACUUGUCUCUAUUGUUCCUCAUCAAGUGAACAGAAACUGA